GUACGGGAGGCAGCAGUGGGGAAUUAUGCACAAUGGACGAAAGUCUGAUGCUGCAACGCUGCGUGAAGGAUGAAGGUUUUCGGAUCGUAAACUUCUUUUAUCUGGGAAUAAUCAUGAAGGUACCAGAUGAAUAAGCACCGGCUAACUACGUGCCAGCAGCCGCGGUAAUACGUAGGGUGCAAACAUUACCCGGAUUCACUGGGCGUAAAGAGUUCGUAGGCGGUUUUGUAAGUUGGAUAUUAAAUACCUUGGCUCAACCAAGGGAGUGUAUCCAAAACUGCAUUACUUGAGGCAUGCAAGGGAAGAUGGAACUUACGGUGUAGCAGUGAAAUGCGUAGAUAUCGUAAGGAACGCCAAUGGUGAAGACAGUCUUCUGGGCAUGUCCUGACGCUGAGGAACGAAAGCGUGGGGAGCGAACGGGAUUAGAUACCCGGGUAGUCC
Molecule: ribosomal RNA, 441 nt
Filed under: uncultured bacterium
Lineage: Bacteria
Description: bacterial SSU rRNA
Rfam family: Bacterial small subunit ribosomal RNA
Source: RNAcentral